UGACGCCUACGGGGGGCAGCAGUGAGGAAUAUUGGUCAAUGGUCGGGAGACUGAACCAGCCAAGCCGCGUGAGGGAUGAAGGUACAGAGUAUCGUAAACCUCUUUUGUCAGGGAGCAACGCCGGCUACGUGUAGCCGGACUGAGAGUACCUGAAGAAAAAGCAUCGGCUAACUCCGUGCCAGCAGCCGCGGUAAUACGGAGGAUGCGAGCGUUAUCCGGAUUUAUUGGGUUUAAAGGGUGCGUAGGCGGAAUGCCAAGUCAGCGGUAAAAUCGCGGGGCUCAACCUCGCUCCGCCGUUGAAACUG
RNAcentral lists this ribosomal RNA (305 nucleotides) under uncultured bacterium. Its description in RNAcentral is "bacterial SSU rRNA". It matches the Rfam family "Bacterial small subunit ribosomal RNA", at positions 333 to 635 of the family's 1533-position model. The record is from RNAcentral.